GACGAACGCUGGCGGCGUGCUUAACACAUGCAAGUCUACGAGAAAGUGUCUUUCGGGAUGCGAGUAUAGUGGCGCACGGGUGAGUAACACGUAAGCAAUCUACCCUUAGGCCUGGGAUAACCCCGAGAAAUCGGGGCUAAUACCGGAUGAUACAGCGGCACCGCAUGGUGAUGUUGUUAAAGUCUAUAUGGCGUCUAGGGAUGAGCUUGCGUCUGAUUAGCUUGUUGGUGAGGUAAUGGCUUACCAAGGCUGCGAUCAGUAGCUGGUCUGAGAGGAUGAUCAGCCACACUGGAACUGAGACACGGUCCAGACUCCUNACGGGAGGCAGCAGUGAGGAAUAUUGGGCAAUGGGCGAAAGCCUGACCCAGCAACGCCGCGUGGAGGAUGAAUGUCGUAAGAUUGUAAACUCCUGUUAGAGGGGAAGAAUAAUUCCGAUCGAAUCGGAACUUGACGUGUACCCUCAGAGAAAGCUCCGC
RNAcentral lists this ribosomal RNA (476 nucleotides) under uncultured bacterium. RNAcentral describes it as "bacterial SSU rRNA". It matches the Rfam family "Bacterial small subunit ribosomal RNA", at positions 28 to 496 of the family's 1533-position model. The record is from RNAcentral.